Molecule: long non-coding RNA, 1546 nt
Organism: Orcinus orca (killer whale)
Lineage: Eukaryota; Metazoa; Chordata; Mammalia; Artiodactyla; Delphinidae
Exons: 2
Source: RefSeq, a predicted model, not a curated record
UAAUCUCUGGAGAGAGUCUAAUGACAACCCAGGAAUGUUGAAAAUGUUCAAGAUGAAGAGAGCUUUUGAAAAGCAUGGAAAACCAACUGUUUCUUUGAAAUUCAACAGCAACAAUUUCAUCUAAUUUCAAAUUCUUAUAAAGGGCAGUGGCAAAUUGAGGAUUUAACAGAAGUUUCUAAAACUGAACUAAAAUGUUUUAUGUGUUCAGUUUGUAGAAAAGAUACUCGGUGCCCCAAGGUACUCCUAACGUUAUCCUCAACCUUGAGAAAUUUGUUAAAACAACUUUUUCUAGAGAAUUUGACCUUUUUUGUUCCCUUUAAGGAAUACAGUGAAGAUCUCAGAUUACAAACAAUCCUAACAAAUUAAGGAAUCAGUUUAAAAAUUGGUGAGAAUCCUCCAUCAUUUUGUUAAAAGGGCCUCUCUCAUGGAACUUGCACAAUGUCAGUAUUAUUAAACAAUAAGACUAAGAUCCAUUUGGAUGUAUUUCAACAUGGUGCCCAAUGCUUGAUCCACUUUGUUAUUCACUAAAUUGACAAAUCGUCUCAGCGUGCACAUGUAGGCAACAAACCCGGGAUCCUUAUUAAUUUAGCCUUCUUAAGACUGAAGUAUAUAUUAGCUGCAGGGAAAUAAAGCAAUGGUAAGGUAUACAUUUUAUACAUCACAAAAUUAUGGACAUUUUAAAAUACAUCCACAUCAUUUUCUCUUAGCAAACGUUACUCUUGUGAUUUCCAUAUUAGCAUACCAUCAUAGGAUAGAACCUUUUGGGGAGGGUGUUGGCUGCCAGAGUUCCCAGCAUAUUACUUAUUGGAACAAUAACUCUAGGAUCUCUGCAGUGUCUCUUUCAAGUGGUCAACCAGCGUGUCUUCUAAGGAUGGGAAGGUAGCUCUAAAGCUGACAAUUGAUUGCUCAAAAGAGAGAGAUCGAAAAAGAAUUACACACUUGUUCCUAUUUUGCAUUUGAACAAAUGAAUUGGUUGCCAUUCAGAUUCAAAAGCAAGCAGAGGGAAAUAAAAUAGAGCACGGUUCUGCUGGAAAAUCCCUACUCCAGUGCUCUGUGACACUGCCCUCUGGUAUGCCCCAGAGAACAGCAGGAUUUUAGCUGUCCCUGCUCCUUGCUCUGCUUGAAGCAAUGAUUUCAGUUACCACUUGAUAAUGCAAAGAGAUCAGUGCACGGAUGACAAGUCCUCCUGGAGAAUUACUUUGAUUCAGCUACUUUAGCAACUCUCAUCUUCGGAGUCUAUUUAAAUUAAAGAAUAGUACCAUCCGGAUUUGUCAGGCUCUGCUUCAUACCAGGAGCUCCAGGAAAAGUACAACUUCUGUCCCCUUUGUGUAUCCAGCUAAUGUGUUUACCUGAGUCACCACCUGAUAUAAGAACUCCUUACUAGAAUGUUUGAAGAUGUUUGGUCCUUUGAGACCCAUCAGAUAAGAGAGAGACUUGGAAAUAAAGUAUAGAUGUGGGCUUAGUACCAUCAAAGGAAAGGCACUGCAAAAAUCAAAAGGAACAACCUGUAUUUUUCCACUAAAUAAAUUGAUCUUUCUUAACCAAA